GUAUACAUAUAUAAAUACAUGCAUAUAUAUACGAGAAGGAUAUACUGUGAAUACAUUAGCUGUAAACCAGUCAUACAUCCUCUUAGUCGAUCCUACCUGUUUAGUGUCACGUACUGCACAAUUAUAAAUCUUUAAACAUCCUGUUAAAUUCAAUAAGAAUAUAACAAAAAGAUGUCCGCGGGAAUGUAUUAUGACGCUCGUGCAUUGCCUAGGAAACAAAAGAUAUCCAAACCAAGAUGGAAGCAAUGGAUUGAACUGAUUUUGAAUAGUGGUGGAAAGUUUGGACUGUCUAAAGCGUGCAUAGUAAAACAUUCUGGGGAUAUUGUAGCCUCGGUUGUAGGACUAGAAAUAAACUUACAAGAAUUCCAGGACCUCCACAAGGCGUUCAACUGUACGAAUAUCGAUGUAGUGAGAGUCGGCGGAAUAACAUAUUGCGUUAAAAGCCAAAAUAGCAAACAGAUGAUAGCCUUCAAUGGCGGAAAAUACCUCAUCAUUACCAGAUCUAAAACUCUUUUUAUAAUCAGUAUCUGUACGUGUAAGAACAAAUUAGAUCUGGCAGCAGCCUGGUUGCAGAGAAUUGGCGAUAGCAUAGAUUGACACUUAAUAUACUUUUAACAAAAUCAUUCCUAGUAGUCGAGGUAUGUGGAGCAAUUUUCUUAAUGCCAAAAUGAAUUCUACAUGUAAAUGUGCUCCAGUCAUGAUUGUAUUAGUCUAAACUUAGUUUCAGAAGAGUGGGUGUAUCAUCAAAUAUCAGCAAAACGAGUCUUUGAUAAAAGUGUAUCAUCUAAAUAUAACUAGGACGAAGACCCGGAAGUCUUAAUCAAUUCAUCACAUGAGUCAAAACAUAAUUAUAAAGACGUCGUACGUACAUACUUAAAAUAACGAUGUAUGCACAUACAAACCUAAGUAUAAGAUAGCGACGUUGUAUGUACAUCCAACAUUAUGUAUGAUAAAGACAUUGAAUGUACAUCCCAGCAUAAGUAUAAGAUAGCGACGUGGUGUGUACAUCCAACCAUUGCGUAUGAUAAAGACAUUGAAUGUACAUCCCAGCAUAAGUAUGAUAAGAUAGCAACGUUGUAUGUACAUCCAAAAAUUAAGUAUGAAUGUACGAUAGAGACUUAGUAUGUACGUCCAACAUAAGUAUGAUAGGAUAGAGACUUAGUAUGUACAUCCAAACAUGAGUAUGAUAGGAUAGAGACUUAGUAUGUACAUCCAAACAUGAGUAUGAUAAGAUAGAGACUUUGUAUAUACACCCAAACAUAAGUAUAAGAUAGAGACGUUGUAUGCACAUUAAAACAUGAUAUGUCCACCCAUACAUAAGCAUGAUACGACGGUACGCUGACACCCAAGUUCAUUGGAUGUCUGAACAUUAAGUAUGUAUGACAAAGACGUUGGGUGUACAUCCUAGCAUUAGUAUGCUCAGAUAAAGAUACGUCCUUAAGACGUUGUAUGUGCAUACUAAUAUAAGUAUGAUAAGACGUUGUAUGUGCAUAUUAAUAUAAGUAUGAUAAGACGUUGUAUGUGUAUACUAAUAUAAGUAUGAUAAGACGUUGUAUGUGCAUACUAAUAUAAGUAUGAUAAGACGUUGUUUUAUUUAUUUAUUUAUUUUUAGAAAUGGGAUUUAACGGCCACGCGACACAAACUAGGUCAUUUCGGGAGUAACAUAUGGUUUAAUUUUAUUUACAUAAUUCGCUUGCGCGUAGGGGUAUUUAGCAGUGGGAGGAAACCGGAGGACCCGGAGAAAACCCACGAGGUUGGACAUGCGACCCUACUCCUUGUCACGUACAACCGGGGAUUCGAAACCACGCCAGUCGACUCAAUGACAGACUUUAUGAUACAACACGCACACGCUAACCAUUCAGCCCCCCCCCCGAUAAGACGUUGUAUGUGCAUACUAAUAUAAGUAUGAUAAGACGAUGUAUGUGCAUACUAAUAUAAGUAAACUCAGACGUUGUAUGUGCAAAGUAUGAUAAGGCGUUGUAUGUGGAUACUAAUAUAUAAAUACGAUACGACGUGUAUGUGGAUACUAAUAUAAGUAUGAUAAGACGUUGUAUGUGCAUACUAAUAUAAGUAAACUCAGACGUUGUAUGUGCAUACUAAUAUAAGUAUGAUAAGGCGUUGUAUGUGAAUACUAAUAUAAAUAUGAUAAGACGUGUAUGUGGAUACUAAUAUAAGUAUGAUAAGACGUUGUAUGUGCAUACUAAUAUAAGUAAACUCAGACGUUGUAUGUGCAUACUAAUAUAAGUAAACUCAGACGUUGUAGGUACUAAUAUAAAUACGAUAAGACGUGUAUGUGCAUACUAAUUUAAGUACGAUAAGACGUAGUAUGUGCAUACUAAUAUAAGUAUGAUAAGACGUUAUACGAUAAGACAUUGUAGAGGCAUAUUAACUAGACAUCCUAACAUUAGUAUGACAAAGAUGUAAAGUACACCAACCAUAAGUAUGAAGAAACAUUACGUUUGUACGUGUGAUCCUACAGAAGAUAAACAUUGUUGAGUGUAUAUCAUAAAGACAUGCAGUGGGAGUCGUGUGAACAUGUAUGUAAUUAAAUCAAAAUGGUGUGUAAUCCAGUUAUUCGUAUUUCAUCUAAUCAUGUAUAUAUAUAUAUAUAUAUAUAUAUAUAUAUAUAUAUCUAUAGUUUGAGAUCAGGUAUACAUAAAUAUAACAACUGAAUCAAAAUAUUAUUAUAGAACAUAAUAAAAGAUA
Molecule: long non-coding RNA, 2706 nt
Organism: Patella vulgata (common limpet)
Lineage: Eukaryota; Metazoa; Mollusca; Gastropoda; Patellidae
Exons: 3
Source: RefSeq, a predicted model, not a curated record